RNAcentral lists this unclassified non-coding RNA (385 nucleotides) under uncultured Phycisphaeraceae bacterium. RNAcentral's name for it is "contains 16S-23S intergenic spacer region". Lineage: Bacteria; Pseudomonadati; Planctomycetota; Phycisphaerae; Phycisphaerales; Phycisphaeraceae. The record is from RNAcentral.
UCACCGCUUACGCGGGCAGUCUCAUUAAAGUCCCCAGCAUAACCUGUUAGCAACUAGCGACAGGGGUUGCGCUCGUUAAUGGACUUAACCAAACACUUCACAGCACGAGCUGACGACAGCCAUGCAGCACCUGUGCACGUUGUACCCUUGCGGGCCUCAUUGAUGUUUCCACCAACUAAUCCGUGCAUGUCAAACCCAGGUAAGGUUCUUCGCGUUGCUUCGAAUUAAGCAACAUGCUCCACCGCUUGUGUGAGCCCCCGUCAAUUUCUUUGAGUUUUAGCCUUGCGACCGUACUCCCCAGGCGGCACACUUAUCAAUUCCUCUGCGACCAAUACGGGGUGAAACCCGCAUCGAUCUAGUGUGCAUCGUUUAGGGCGUGGACUAC